This 423-nucleotide ribosomal RNA is filed under the name Fusobacteriota bacterium. Its description in RNAcentral is "Fusobacteria bacterium partial 16S ribosomal RNA". It matches the Rfam family "Bacterial small subunit ribosomal RNA", at positions 355 to 776 of the family's 1533-position model. Lineage: Bacteria; Fusobacteriati; Fusobacteriota. The record is from RNAcentral.
UGAGGAAUAUUGGUCAAUGGGCGAGAGCCUGAACCAGCCAAGUAGCGUGCAGGAUGACGGCCCUAUGGGUUGUAAACUGCUUUUAUGUGGGGAUAAAGUGCGUGACGUGUCAUGCAUUGCAGGUACCACAUGAAUAAGGACCGGCUAAUUCCGUGCCAGCAGCCGCGGUAAUACGGAAGGUCCGGGCGUUAUCCGGAUUUAUUGGGUUUAAAGGGAGCGAGGCUGUCUAUUAAGCGUGUUGUGAAAUUUACCGGCUCAACCGGUGGCUUGCAGCGCGAACUGGUCGACUUGAGUAUGCAGGAAGUAGGCGGAAUUCAUGGUGUAGCGGUGAAAUGCUUAGAUAUCAUGACGAACUCCGAUUGCGCAGGCAGCUUACUGUAGCAUAACUGACGCUGAUGCUCGAAAGUGCGGGUAUCAAACAGG